Molecule: ribosomal RNA, 656 nt
Filed under: Salmonella enterica
Lineage: Bacteria; Pseudomonadati; Pseudomonadota; Gammaproteobacteria; Enterobacterales; Enterobacteriaceae
Description: partial 23S ribosomal RNA
Rfam family: Bacterial large subunit ribosomal RNA
Source: RNAcentral
AUGUUUGAUGUUCUAACGUGGACCCGUAAUCCGGGUUGCGGACAGUGUCUGGUGGGUAGUUUGACUGGGGCGGUCUCCUCCUAAAGAGUAACGGAGGAGCACGAAGGUUGGCUAAUCCUGGUCGGACAUCAGGAGGUUAGUGCAAUGGCAUAAGCCAGCUUGACUGCGAGCGUGACGGCGCGAGCAGGUGCGAAAGCAGGUCAUAGUGAUCCGGUGGUUCUGAAUGGAAGGGCCAUCGCUCAACGGAUAAAAGGUACUCCGGGGAUAACAGGCUGAUACCGCCCAAGAGUUCAUAUCGACGGCGGUGUUUGGCACCUCGAUGUCGGCUCAUCACAUCCUGGGGCUGAAGUAGGUCCCAAGGGUAUGGCUGUUCGCCAUUUAAAGUGGUACGCGAGCUGGGUUUAGAACGUCGUGAGACAGUUCGGUCCCUAUCUGCCGUGGGCGCUGGAGAACUGAGGGGGGCUGCUCCUAGUACGAGAGGACCGGAGUGGACGCAUCACUGGUGUUCGGGUUGUCAUGCCAAUGGCACUGCCCGGUAGCUAAAUGCGGAAGAGAUAAGUGCUGAAAGCAUCUAAGCACGAAACUUGCCCCGAGAUGAGUUCUCCCUGAGACUUAGAGUCUCCUGAAGGAACGUUGAAGACGACGACGUUGAUAGG